Molecule: non-coding RNA, 22 nt
Filed under: Arabidopsis thaliana (thale cress)
Lineage: Eukaryota; Viridiplantae; Streptophyta; Magnoliopsida; Brassicales; Brassicaceae
Source: RNAcentral
CACCAGUGAAGUUGUUGGUGGU